RNAcentral lists this ribosomal RNA (448 nucleotides) under uncultured bacterium. RNAcentral's name for it is "bacterial LSU rRNA". It matches the Rfam family "Bacterial large subunit ribosomal RNA", at positions 470 to 929 of the family's 2925-position model. The record is from RNAcentral.
GUACUCCUUACCGACCGAUAGCGCACCAGUACGUGAGGAAGUGAAAGCACCCGACGAGGGAGUGAAAUAGAACCUGAAACCGGAUGCCUACAAACAGUCGGAGCCCGCAAGGGUGACGACGUACCUUUUGUAUAAUGGGUCUGCGACUUAGUCUGGCGAGCAAGCUUAAGGCGAUAGCUGUAGGCGAAGCGAAAGCGAGUCUGAACAGGGCGUUCAGUUCGUCGGACUAGACCCGAAACCAGUCGAUCUAUCCAUGGCCAGGUUGAAAGCAGGGUAACACCUGCUGGAGGACCGAACCGGUGCCUGUUGAAAAAGUCUCGGAUGAGCUGUGGAUAGGGGUGAAAGGCCAAUCAAGGCUGGAAAUAGCUGGUUCUCCGCGAAAUCUAUUUAGGUAGAGCCUCGAGUGAAUACCCCAGGGGGGUAGAGCACUGGAUGGGCUAGGGGCCCC